Molecule: long non-coding RNA, 2006 nt
Filed under: Strongylocentrotus purpuratus (purple sea urchin)
Lineage: Eukaryota; Metazoa; Echinodermata; Echinoidea; Camarodonta; Strongylocentrotidae
Description: uncharacterized LOC115919408
Source: RNAcentral
GAAAGUCGUUUUAUUAUUCAAUCAUGAAUGUUUCUUUCAACCUGAUUUAUUAAUCCUGCCGAGAGGCCCGGCCUGUACAGUAGCGAGCUGGCAACAAAACCCCAUUGGGUGAACUGCUUUGCAACCCAUAUUUAAAUUUAUAUAAGCAGUCGGAUUGAUUCAGGAUGAGCUAGAAUAUGAUUGAUUCCCAUCUUCUGAUUAUUUGGGUGACUGGAUGCUUUUUGAUAACAAGGUAAGAGCACAUAGAACUACAUACAUGUAUAUAUAUACUGUGAUGACCCCAUUCACUUAUAUGCUUCCUCUGUAGCUUGAGAUGGUGUCUUCUUAUGUCACAACCAAUACAAUAGUUUAUGUCCUUCUUGUCUUUCAUUAAUUGUUGGAGGAUUUCUUCUGUUUCCAGAACAUUUUUGUUUGUCAAGUCUCUUCCCCCUCUUCUUUAUUUUUUGUUUAGCUGUGUAGGGGCAUUUCUAGGUAUUACUGCACACAUGAUUGAUUUGGGGCAGCCAUCAUACCUGCCAACCACUCCGAUUUAGGCGGAGUUACUCCGCUUUUUUCAUACCCACUCCGAAUUCCGAUUGCAUGCCUCAAAACUCCGAUUUUUUGUAAUUUUAAAAUAUUUUUAAAACAAACGACUGUUGCAUAAGACUAAAGCAUAACACAGCACUGAUAACCAGAUCACGCCUUACGGGGAAACGAUAAACAUAAGUACUUUAUAUAGCGAAUGCCGCCUUAUCACAUAGCCUCCGCACACAGCGCUGCAUGUCGCACGCAUUCACUCAUAGGUUCACUGAAUUUGACUACACUGGAUAGACACUUUCGCGCACAUGGUCCGUCCGCCGCCAUCUUGUUUAAUUCCAAAACAACACGGCCGCUACGUAUGCUACGUGCGUUCGUGCCUUUUGAGGGGAGCAUGGGGGUAGAUGAUCGUGCGCAUGGCGCCCGCAAUAUAGUAGCGAAGACUUCGGUGAUUCAGCGGGCGCAUUGCAAGUGCAGUGCGGUAUACGAUGUGUUGUUGUUCAUGAACGCCGGGCCUAGCGGCCUGGGCUGUAUGGUGUGUCUGUGGUACUGGUGAGUGUACGUGUGCGUGUGUAGAAUACGAGCUCUGCCAUUUGACUGUGGAUUCGAAUUUGCCAUUCGACGCUUGAACAAGGUGUUUUCUUCCUGAAUAUUAUCAUGGAUUCACUCAAAAGAGCGAGUACCCGAGAAGGAGAUCCUUUGACUGGAAACAGAUUUUUAAAAACGUUUUUAUGCACAUCUUUAUUUUGGACUUGAAUAUGGUAGGUUCGAAAUUCAGUAAGAGUGAUUGGGUGUUUGUGUACGUUUUGCGCGAAAAUUAUGCUGCGGUGUCUUGCGUUACGGAAAGACCCCCAUUUGUUACGGACAAAUAUGGUAAAUGUUACUGACAGCCAUCCUAUAGGGUUGGCAUCUCUGCCCCCCCCCCCAAUCUACGGGCUACUACCCCAAUCCUUCGGUGGUUCGCGACCUCGUAGUCCAUCCAGAAAAAUUUACUCCUAAUUUCUCUUGUCUCAGGUUGGCAGGUAUGAGCCAUGUGUUUGAUUGUAUUAUAGCAAUGAUGUCAAUUAUGCUACAGACAGAAAAUCUAAAUUUUUAAUAAAAGCUUGCUGUCCGUUGGAACAUUAAUGCCACAAUUUGAAUAUUCACUAAGGCUGCAACGAUUUCUCGAAUACUCGAGUACUCGCACUGUUGACAACUACUCGAAUACACGGUUGCCAUUUUUUUCUUCUCCACAUGGCACUGUGCCGGCGGGCCGAAGCUCUCCCGUGCCCGGAGAAGCACCGGCAGGGUACCGUGAGUAAAAUGUCCAGAUUUCUGUUUGAACUUGGAGGACAAUUUGUCUGUCAUCUUUAGUUUUAAAAACAACAUUGUUACUAUUAUUUGUGAGAAGUUCACAAGCACAAAUCAACGCCUUCAAUUGCAACUCGCAGUAAAAUAGCAUGGUUUUCGUAGCCGUAUUAUGCUUCCUACAACAUCGGCAAAAAAAAAAA